CCUAUAAAGUUUUCUAUGAGCUUUGACUAUGCCACUAUUUCUUCCACAUCAGGUGAUAUUUACAUUUCUUUCCUUUUGCUUAGUGUAAGCUGAUUUUUUUUAAAA
Dipodomys spectabilis (banner-tailed kangaroo rat) is the source of this 105-nucleotide long non-coding RNA. RefSeq lists it as uncharacterized. The record is from RefSeq and is a predicted model, not a curated record. NCBI's taxonomy places the organism in Eukaryota, Metazoa, Chordata, Mammalia, Rodentia, Heteromyidae. The transcript has 3 exons.